Molecule: ribosomal RNA, 193 nt
Filed under: Babesia odocoilei
Lineage: Eukaryota; Apicomplexa; Aconoidasida; Piroplasmida; Babesiidae
Description: partial small subunit ribosomal RNA
Rfam family: Eukaryotic small subunit ribosomal RNA
Source: RNAcentral
GUCUGGUGCCAGCAGCCGCGGUAAUUCCAGCUCCAAUAGCGUAUAUUAAACUUGUUGCAGUUAAAAAGCUCGUAGUUGAAUUUCUGCGUCACCGUAUUUUGACUUUUGUCGACUGUCGGUUUCGCUUUUGGGAUUUAUCCCUUUUUACUUUGAGAAAAUUAGAGUGUUUCAAGCAGACAUUUGUCUUGAAUAC